GACCCUGUCGUCUAACGGCUCAGGACAUCCGGCUUUCUACCGGAUAAUACGGGUUCGAAUCCCGUCAGGGUCGCCA
This 76-nucleotide transfer RNA is filed under the name Prosthecobacter algae. Its description in RNAcentral is "tRNA-Glu". It matches the Rfam family "tRNA". From Rfam's summary of the family: Transfer RNA (tRNA) molecules are approximately 80 nucleotides in length. Their secondary structure includes four short double-helical elements and three loops (D, anti-codon, and T loops). Further hydrogen bonds mediate the characteristic L-shaped molecular structure. tRNAs have two regions of fundamental functional importance: the anti-codon, which is responsible for specific mRNA codon recognition, and the 3' end, to which the tRNAs corresponding amino acid is attached (by aminoacyl-tRNA synthetases). tRNAs cope with the degeneracy of the genetic code in two manners: having more than one tRNA (with a specific anti-codon) for a particular amino acid; and 'wobble' base-pairing, i.e. permitting non-standard base-pairing at the 3rd anti-codon position. RNAcentral also lists the same sequence under 1 other name. Lineage: Bacteria; Pseudomonadati; Verrucomicrobiota; Verrucomicrobiia; Verrucomicrobiales; Verrucomicrobiaceae. The record is from RNAcentral.